Molecule: ribosomal RNA, 253 nt
Filed under: uncultured bacterium
Lineage: Bacteria
Description: partial 16S ribosomal RNA
Rfam family: Bacterial small subunit ribosomal RNA
Source: RNAcentral
UACGUAGGGGGCAAGCGUUGUCCGGAAUCAUUGGGCGUAAAGCGCGUGUAGGCGGCCCGGUAAGUCCGCUGUGAAAGUCGGGGGCUCAACCCUCGGAUGCCGGUGGAUACUGUCGGGCUGGAGUGCGGAAGAGGCGAGUGGAAUUCCUGGUGUAGCGGUGAAAUGCGCAGAUAUCAGGAGGAACACCAAUUGCGAAGGCAGCUCGCUGGGACGUUACUGACGCUGAGACGCGAAAGCGUGGGGAGCAAACAGG